This 253-nucleotide ribosomal RNA is filed under the name uncultured bacterium. Its description in RNAcentral is "partial 16S ribosomal RNA". It matches the Rfam family "Bacterial small subunit ribosomal RNA", at positions 524 to 776 of the family's 1533-position model. The record is from RNAcentral.
UACGUAGGGGGCUAGCGUUGUCCGGAAUCAUUGGGCGUAAAGAGCGUGUAGGCGGCUUGGUAAGUCCGCUGUGAAAGUCCAGGGCUCAACCCUGGAAAGCCAGUGGAAACUGUCAAGCUAGAGUCCGGAAGAGGCGAGUGGAACUCCUGGUGUAGCGGUGAAAUGCGCAGAUAUCAGGAAGAACACCAAUGGCGAAGGCAGCUCGCUGGGACGGUACUGACGCUGAGGCACGAAAGUGUGGGGAUCAAACAGG